UAAUACGCAUGUGUCUAGACAAAGGUGCCUUCGGGUGCCGCUUUGAGAUGGCUCGCGGCCUAUCAGCUUGUUGGUGAGGUAAUGGCUCACCAAGGCAACGACGGGUAGCUGGUCUGAGAGGACGAUCAGCAACACUGGAACUGAGACACGGUCCAGACACCUACGGGUGGCAGCAGUCGAGAAUCAUUCACAAUGGGGGAAACCCUGAUGGUGCAACGCCGCGUGGAGGAUGAAGGCCCUAGGGUCGUAAACUCCUGUCAUAUGAGAGUAAGGCAUAUUAGUUAAUAGCUAGUAUGUUUGAUAGUAUCAUAAGAGGAAGGA
Molecule: ribosomal RNA, 321 nt
Filed under: uncultured bacterium
Lineage: Bacteria
Description: bacterial SSU rRNA
Rfam family: Bacterial small subunit ribosomal RNA
Source: RNAcentral